RNAcentral lists this long non-coding RNA (658 nucleotides) under Hordeum vulgare. Its description in RNAcentral is "long non-coding RNA (HVUL_LNC010118)". The record is from RNAcentral. Lineage: Eukaryota; Viridiplantae; Streptophyta; Magnoliopsida; Poales; Poaceae.
UCUAGACACAAAAUAAAACAUAAAGCUUCAUAUUACAAGCCAGGGGCCUCGAGGGCUAUAAUACAGAAGCUCGAUAAACACAUGAGUCAGCGGAAGCAACAAUAUCUGAGUACACACAUACACUUGGGGUGCCUUAGAGAAGGCUAGCACAAAAGAAACACGAUCGAACGAGGCGAGGACUCCUGCGUGGGAACCUCCUAAACUACUCCUGGUCUUCAGCGGCCUCCACGUAGAAGACACCAUCAGGAUGGCAUACAUCGGCAGGAAACUCCACUCCUGGGCUCCAUCAUCUGGUCGCAACAACGGAUAAAAGGGACAAAGGGGGAGCAAAGCAACGGUGAGCACUCAUUCGAAAUACUCACAAGACUUACAUCAGAACUAUGCUAAGUAUGCAUCAGUAUCAAAGAAGGGGGAUUUUAUGUGGACUGACUGCAACAAAGUAAGAAUAGAGAGAAGGCCUACUCCUAUCGAAGACUAUCAUCUUUAGGGUCUUGCAGCAAUAGACGAGAGUAGAGCAAGGUAACACAAUUAAAUAGUCAUAUUGUUGCAGCAAUAUUAAUAUAAGGUCAUGCCCAGAGAUCCUCCCUCGACUCCCUGCGAUGAAGCAAUCCCGGGGCAACUAAAUUCAGUUAAGUAACAAUUGUAGUUGUAUAAGAUC